GAUGAACGCUAGCGGCAGGCUUAACACAUGCAAGGUCGAGGGGGCAGCAUGAACCGACCUUCGGGAAGGUUUGAUGGCGACCGGCGCAAGGGUGCGUAACGCGUGAGCAACUUGCCCGUUUCUGGGGAAUAACCGGUGGAAACGCCGACUAAUACCCCAUAGCAUCAACUUAGGGCAUCCUUAGUUGAUUAAAGAUUUAUCGGUAACGGAUGGGGAUGCGUUCCAUUAGCUUGUUGGCGGGUAACGGCCACCAAGGCUUCGAUGGAUAGGGGUUCUGAGAGGAAGGUCCCCCACACUGGAACUGAGACACGGUCCAGACUCCUACGGGAGGCAGCAGUGAGGAAUAUUGGUCAAUGGUCGGAAGACUGAACCAGCCAAGUAGCGUGAAGGAUGAAGGUUCUAUGGAUUGUAAACUUCUUUUGUAUGGGAAUAAAGCCCGCUACGUGUAGCGGUUUGUAUGUACCAUACGAAUAAGCAUCGGCUAACUCCGUG
RNAcentral lists this ribosomal RNA (492 nucleotides) under uncultured bacterium. RNAcentral describes it as "bacterial SSU rRNA". It matches the Rfam family "Bacterial small subunit ribosomal RNA", at positions 28 to 507 of the family's 1533-position model. The record is from RNAcentral.